Molecule: transfer RNA, 71 nt
Filed under: Ictidomys tridecemlineatus (thirteen-lined ground squirrel)
Lineage: Eukaryota; Metazoa; Chordata; Mammalia; Rodentia; Sciuridae
Description: Spermophilus tridecemlineatus (thirteen-lined ground squirrel) tRNA
Rfam family: tRNA
About the family: Transfer RNA (tRNA) molecules are approximately 80 nucleotides in length. Their secondary structure includes four short double-helical elements and three loops (D, anti-codon, and T loops).
Source: Rfam by way of RNAcentral
GGGGAUGUGACUCUGUGUAGAGCGCUUGCCUAGUAGGUAGGAAGCCUGGGGUUCAACUCCCAGCACCACCA